AGCGAACGCUGGCGGCAGGCCUAACACAUGCAAGUCGAACGAACUCUUCGGAGUUAGUGGCGGACGGGUGAGUAACACGUGGGAACGUGCCUUUAGGUUCGGAGUAACUCAGGGAAACUUGUGCUAAUACCGAAUGUGCCCUUCGGGGGAAAGAUUUAUCGCCUUUAGAGCGGCCCGCGUCGGAUUAGCUAGUUGGUGUGGUAAAGGCUCACCAAGGAGACGAUCAGUAGCUAGUCUGAGAGGAUGAUCAGCCACAUUGGGACUGAGACACGGCCCAAACUCCUACGGGAGGCAGCAGUGGGGAAUCUUGCGCAAUGGGCGAAAGCCUGACGCAGCCAUGCCGCGUGAAUGAUGAAGGUCUUAGGAUUGUAAAAUUCUUUCACCGGGGACGAUAAUGACGGUACCCGGAGAAGAAGCCCCGGCUAACUUCGUGCCAGCCGCCGCCGUAA
Molecule: ribosomal RNA, 449 nt
Filed under: uncultured bacterium
Lineage: Bacteria
Description: partial 16S ribosomal RNA
Rfam family: Bacterial small subunit ribosomal RNA
Source: RNAcentral